RNAcentral lists this long non-coding RNA (270 nucleotides) under Homo sapiens (human). Its description in RNAcentral is "HSALNT0346885". It matches the Rfam family "Eukaryotic large subunit ribosomal RNA", at positions 822 to 1078 of the family's 3401-position model. The record is from RNAcentral. Lineage: Eukaryota; Metazoa; Chordata; Mammalia; Primates; Hominidae.
GAUGGUGAACUGUGCCUGAGGAGGGCGAAGCCAGAGGACACUCUGGUGGAGGUCCGUUGCAGUGCUGUCGUGCAAAUCCAUCGUCCGACCUGGGUAUAGGGGUGAAAGACUAAUUGAGCCAUCUACUAGCUGGUUCCCUCAGAAGUUUCCCUUAGGAUAGUUGGUGCUCUCCCAAAACCCAACCCACACAGUUUUAUCCAGUAAAGUUAAUAUUAGAGGUCCUGGGGCCAAAAUGAUCUCAACCUAUUCUCAAACUUUAAAUGGGUAAGA